AUAUUGGACAAUGGGCGCAAGCCUGAUCCAGCCAUGCCGCGUGUGUGAAGAAGGCCUUCGGGUUGUAAAGCACUUUCAGUGGGGAGGAAGGCUGUUUACCUAAUACGUAAGCAGAUUGACGUUACCCACAGAAGAAGCACCGGCUAACUCCGUGCCAGCAGCCGCGGUAAUACGGAGGGUGCAAGCGUUAAUCGGAAUUACUGGGCGUAAAGCGCACGUAGGUGGUUUGUUAAGCUAGCCGUGAAAUCCCCGGGCUCAACCUGGGCACUGCGGUUAGAACUGGCAAGCUAGAGUAGGGUAGAGGGGUGUGGAAUUCCAGGUGUAGCGGUGAAAUGCGUAGAUAUCUGGAGGAACAUCAGUGGCGAAGGCGACACCCUGGACUCAUACUGACACUGAGGUGCGAAAGCGUGGGGAGCAAACAGG
This 423-nucleotide ribosomal RNA is filed under the name uncultured bacterium. RNAcentral's name for it is "bacterial SSU rRNA". It matches the Rfam family "Bacterial small subunit ribosomal RNA", at positions 361 to 776 of the family's 1533-position model. The record is from RNAcentral.